Molecule: ribosomal RNA, 272 nt
Filed under: Escherichia coli
Lineage: Bacteria; Pseudomonadati; Pseudomonadota; Gammaproteobacteria; Enterobacterales; Enterobacteriaceae
Description: partial 16S ribosomal RNA
Rfam family: Bacterial small subunit ribosomal RNA
Source: RNAcentral
AAAUUGAAGAGUUUGAUCAUGGCUCAGAUUGAACGCUGGCGGCAGGCCUAACACAUGCAAGUCGAACGGUAACAGGAAGCAGCUUGCUGCUUUGCUGACGAGUGGCGGACGGGUGAGUAAUGUCUGGGAAACUGCCUGAUGGAGGGGGAUAACUACUGGAAACGGUAGCUAAUACCGCAUAACGUCGCAAGACCAAAGAGGGGGACCUUCGGGCCUCUUGCCAUCGGAUGUGCCCAGAUGGGAUUAGCUUGUUGGUGGGGUAACGGCUCACC